This 283-nucleotide ribosomal RNA is filed under the name Escherichia coli IS1. RNAcentral's name for it is "Small Subunit Ribosomal RNA; ssuRNA; SSU rRNA". It matches the Rfam family "Bacterial small subunit ribosomal RNA", at positions 1 to 281 of the family's 1533-position model. Lineage: Bacteria; Pseudomonadati; Pseudomonadota; Gammaproteobacteria; Enterobacterales; Enterobacteriaceae. The record is from RNAcentral.
AAAUUGAAGAGUUUGAUCAUGGCUCAGAUUGAACGCUGGCGGCAGGCCUAACACAUGCAAGUCGAACGGUAACAGGAAACAGCUUGCUGUUUCGCUGACGAGUGGCGGACGGGUGAGUAAUGUCUGGGAAACUGCCUGAUGGAGGGGGAUAACUACUGGAAACGGUAGCUAAUACCGCAUAACGUCGCAAGACCAAAGAGGGGGACCUUCGGGCCUCUUGCCAUCGGAUGUGCCCAGAUGGGAUUAGCUAGUAGGUGGGGUAACGGCUCACCUAGCGACGAUC